GGUUAAGUUAGAAAGGGCGCACGGUGGAUGCCUUGGCACUAGGAGCCGAUGAAGGACGGGACGAACACCGAUAUGCUUCGGGGAGCUGUAAGCAAGCUUUGAUCCGGAGAUUUCCGAAUGGGGAAACCCACUGCUCGUAAUGGAGCAGUAUCCAUAUCUGAAUUCAUAGGAUAUGAGAAGGCAGACCCGGGGAACUGAAACAUCUAAGUACCCGGAGGAAGAGAAAGCAAAUGCGAUUCCCUGAGUAGCGGCGAGCGAAACGGGAUUAGCCCAAACCAAGAGGCUUGCCUCUUGGGGUUGUAGGACACUCUGUACGGAGUUACAAAAGAACGAGGUAGAUGAAGAGGUCUGGAAAGGCCCGCCAUAGGAGGUAACAGCCCUGUAGUCAAAACUUCGUUCUCUCCUGAGUGGAUCCUGAGUACGGCGGAACACGUGA
This 436-nucleotide ribosomal RNA is filed under the name Salmonella enterica subsp. enterica serovar Typhimurium. RNAcentral's name for it is "partial 23S ribosomal RNA". It matches the Rfam family "Bacterial large subunit ribosomal RNA", at positions 1 to 429 of the family's 2925-position model. The record is from RNAcentral. Lineage: Bacteria; Pseudomonadati; Pseudomonadota; Gammaproteobacteria; Enterobacterales; Enterobacteriaceae.